CUCAUGGGCGCCCGGACUGGGGCUGAUGUAGUUUCCCGACCUCUGACACAUAGGAUCUGGAGAUUAAAGCUGCUCUGCUAAUAAUUAGGUUCCCACCUCUCAAGAUCAUUAGGAGCUUCUUUUCCAAUUCCUCUGUUUUGCAUGCAUUGGAAGAGCAAAUACCUACCAGAAUGGAUAACUUGAGAGAUGUGGAAAGUGAGUUUCUUUGCGCUUAUCUAGUGAGGGUGAUUUUUAGUCAAUAAGCAUUUGGUAUAUGCCUGGGAAUCCAACAGCUGCUAUUUAGAUUCAGAGCCAGCCUUUAUUUAUCAGCUUUCUGAUGCUGAACCCAUCAGUGAACUUCUCUGUAUAUUUGAUUCAUCAUAAGGAAAAUGGUGACGCCGAGGGUGACUGAUUUCCAGGUUUACAUCGGUUGCCCCAGGGGAAGUGCCUGGCCCCCAUCUGGUCCUUGCUGCUCUAACUUUGCCCUGUUAAUUGAAGAAAUGCAGGAUCUGGAGCUCAGGACCCACUACCUCCCCGGCCCACUGCAAGCUUGAACAUUUGAUGGUGGACACCCCUCCCUGACUUUGUAUUAUGUGUCACUGGUGUGGGGGUUACCUUCCCACUAUGUCUCCCAGAAGACAUGAGGGCACAGACUACAGUGCCUGUGGACAGAGGAGCUGUGGGGAUGGAAGUGUGAUUGCUUCAUUCAAAUGCACGCCCCGGUGCGUGUGCGUCUCUUCUGAUGCAGCUCCCCAUGGGCCCCUGGAUCCUCCUGGAAUCCCUGAUCCCUGUUGCUCCCUGGCGGAGUUUUCUAGUCCCUCUUACUUGAAGCAUGUCUUUCAGAGCCCGGCACCACCCAAGUUGGGUAUCUGCUACACCUCUAUGGUAUUUUUUUCACCUCAUAUCAUACCUUCCUCCCUCACUGGACUUCAGUGUGGGACCUGCAGGUCUCAGGCCUUCUGGGAAGUCCCAGCUUUUCUUGAAUGUUCUCUCUCUCUGGCCAGCUCAGGCUGGAGCAGUGGGUGUUGGUGCCAUCCUGUGGCUAUAGGUGAUAAGCCGGCUGUUCUUCACUGACCUGGUCUUACCUUGAACCCUGGAGUUCUCACAUGCAUGGAUUUAAAUGCUGUGUCUUUCUAAGGGCACAUUAUGGCCAUUUUCCUUAUCUCCCUCCCAAGGGGCUGUUUCCUGUAUU
This 1171-nucleotide long non-coding RNA is filed under the name Homo sapiens (human). RNAcentral describes it as "long intergenic non-protein coding RNA 1535". The record is from RNAcentral. Lineage: Eukaryota; Metazoa; Chordata; Mammalia; Primates; Hominidae.